GGUCAAGCUACAAAGGGCGCAUGGUGAAUGCCUUGGCAUCAGGAGCCGAUGAAGGACGUGAUAAGCUGCGAUAAGCUUCGGGUAGGCGCACAUAGCCUGAGAUCCGAAGAUCUCCGAAUGAGGAAACUCACAUGGGAAACCCCAUGUAUCAUUAAGUGAAUACAUAGCUUAAUGAAGGUAACCCAGGGAACUGAAACAUCUAAGUACCUGGAGGAAGAGAAAGAAAAAUCGAUUUUCUUAGUAGCGGCGAGCGAAAGGGAAAGAGCCCAAACCGGAAACUUGUUUCCGGGGUUGUGGACAUAACAUAAAAGUGGAGGCUAUUGUAACUGAAGAGAACUGGAAAGUUCCACCGUAGAAGGUAAUAGUCCUGUAAGUGAAACGAGAAGACCACGAGUUAUGAUCCAGAGUACCACGAGACACGUGAAACCUUGUGGGAAGCAGGGAGGACCACCUCCCAAGGCUAAAUACUACCUGAUGACCGAUAGUGAAGCAGUACCGUGAGGGAAAGGUGAAAAGAACCCCGGGAGGGGAGUGAAAUAGAACCUGAAACCGUGUGCCUACAACCGCUCAGAGCCCCUUAUGAGGGUGAUGAGGUGCUUUUUGUAGAACGAGCCAACGAGUUACGGUAUGUAGCAAGGUUAAGUACUUAAGGUACGGAGCCGAAGGGAAACCGAGUCUGAAUAGGGCGACUAGUUGCAUGCCGUAGACCCGAAACCGGGUGACCUAUCCAUGGCCAGGUUGAAGCGAGGGUAAAACCUCGUGGAGGACCGAACCACGUUGCUGUUGAAAAAGCAUGGGAUGAGCUGUGGAUAGCGGAGAAAUUCCAAUCGAACCCGGAGAUAGCUGGUUCUCUCCGAAAUAGCUUUAGGGCUAGCGUCGAGUAUGAGUAGUGGAGGUAGAGCACUGAAUGGGCUAGGGGGCAUAGCGCUUACCGAACCUUAUCAAACUCCGAAUGCCACAUACUUUGAGCUCGGCAGUCAGACUACGAAUGAUAAGAUCCGUGGUCAAAAGGGAAACAGCCCAGAUCGUCAGCUAAGGUCCCAAAGUGUAAGUUAAGUGGGAAAGGAUGUGAGAUUUCUAAGACAACUAGGAUGUUGGCUUAGAAGCAGCCAUUCAUUAAAAGAGUGCGUAAUAGCUCACUAGUCGAGAGAUCUUGCGCCGAAAAUGUAACGGGGCUAAACUUACCACCGAAGCUACGGGCUUGAACUUAUGUUCAAGCGGUAGGAGAGCGUCGUAACCGGGCUGAAGUCGUACCGUAAGGAGCGGUGGACUGGUUACGAGUGAGAAUGUUGGCAUCAGUAGCGAGAUGUGGGUGAGAAUCCCACAGGCCGAAAACCUAAGGUUUCCUCAGGAAGGUUCGUCCGCUGAGGGUUAGUCGGGACCUAAGCCGAGGCCGAAAGGCGUAGGUGAUGGACAACUGGUUGAUAUUCCAGUACCACUACCAUCGUUAUUAUCGAUGGCGUGACGCAGGAGGAUAGUGUGUGCUAGCUAUUGGAUGCUAGUCUAAGCGUUUAGGCAGUGAGAGUAGGCAAAUCCGCUCUCAUAAUGCUGAGGCGUGAUGGGGAAGGUUCUACGGAACCGAAGUACAUGAUUCCACGCUGCCAAGAAAAGCGUCUAGAGAGAGAAGUAGUGCCCGUACCGCAAACCGACACAGGUAGGUGAGGAGAGAAUCCUAAGGCCGGCGGAAGAAUUACAGUUAAGGAACUCGGCAAAUUGACCCCGUAAGUUCGCGAGAAGGGGUGCCUACGAGAGUAGGCCGCAGAGAAUAGGCCCAAGCAACUGUUUAGCAAAAACACAGGUCUCUGCUAAAGCGUAAGCUGAUGUAUAGGGGCUGACGCCUGCCCGGUGCUGGAAGGUUAAGGGGAACACUUAGCGCAAGCGAAGGUGUGAACUUAAGCCCCAGUAAACGGCGGCCGUAACUAUAACGGUCCUAAGGUAGCGAAAUUCCUUGUCGGGUAAGUUCCGACCCGCACGAAAGGCGUAAC
Molecule: ribosomal RNA, 1985 nt
Filed under: Staphylococcus haemolyticus
Lineage: Bacteria; Bacillati; Bacillota; Bacilli; Caryophanales; Staphylococcaceae
Description: partial 23S ribosomal RNA
Rfam family: Bacterial large subunit ribosomal RNA
Source: RNAcentral